RNAcentral lists this signal recognition particle RNA (95 nucleotides) under Planctomycetota bacterium. RNAcentral describes it as "signal recognition particle sRNA small type". It matches the Rfam family "Bacterial small signal recognition particle RNA". From Rfam's summary of the family: The signal recognition particle (SRP) is a universally conserved ribonucleoprotein involved in the co-translational targeting of proteins to membranes. The record is from RNAcentral. Lineage: Bacteria; Pseudomonadati; Planctomycetota.
GAUCAGGUCCCAUGCAGUGGGUGUGUCGGACAGCGGGUCAGGCUGGAGACAGCGCAGCCCAACCGGUUCGCUCAGGUGCCGUGGUCAACCUGGUC